Molecule: ribosomal RNA, 724 nt
Filed under: uncultured bacterium
Lineage: Bacteria
Description: bacterial SSU rRNA
Rfam family: Bacterial small subunit ribosomal RNA
Source: RNAcentral
AACGAACGCUGGCGGCGUGGAUAAGACAUGCAAGUCGAACGAAGCAAUGGAUUUCGGUUUAUUGUUUAGUGGCGAACGGGUGAGUAACACGUGAGUUACCUGCCUCUAAGUUAGGGAUAGCCCCGGGAAACUGGGAUUAAUACCUGAUGGACUCGAAAGAGUAAAGGAGAAAUCCGCUUAGAGAGGGGCUCGCGUCCUAUUAGUUAGUUGGUGAGGUAAUGGCUCACCAAGGCGAUGACGGGUAGCCGGUCUGAGAGGAUGUCCGGCCACACUGGAACUGAGACACGGUCCAGACACCUACGGGUGGCAGCAGUCGAGAAUCAUUCACAAUGGACGAAAGUCUGAUGGUGCGACGCCGCGUGGGGGAGGAAGGUCUUCGGAUUGUAAACCCCUGUCAUGUGGGAGCAAGAUAGAAAUAUUUGAUAGUACCACAAGAGGAAGAGACGGCUAACUCUGUGCCAGCAGCCGCGGUAAUACAGAGGUCUCAAGCGUUGUUCGGAAUCACUGGGCGUAAAGGGUACGUAGGCGGCGCCAUAAGUCGUGCGUGAAAGGCAAGGGCCCAACCCUUGGAGUGCGCAUGAUACUGUGGUGCUAGAGCGAUGGAGAGGGAACUGGAAUUCUUGGUGUAGCAGUGAAAUGCGUAGAUAUCAAGAGGAAGACUCGUGGCGAAGGCGAGUUCCUGGACAUGUGCUGACGCUGAGGUACGAAGGCUAGGGUAGCGAAA